UACGUAGGCAGCGAGCGUUGUUCGGAGUUACUGGGCGUAAAGGGUGUGUAGGCGGUUGUUUAAGUUUGGUGUGGAAUCUCCCGGCUCAACUGGGAGGGUGCGCCGAAUACUGAAUGACUUCGAGUGCGGGAGAGGAGAGUGGAAUUCCUGGUGUAGCGGUGAAAUGCGUAGAUAUCAGGAGGAACACCUGCGGUGUAGACGGCUUGCUGGACCAUCACUGACGCUGAGGCACGAAAGCGUGGGUAGCAAACAGG
This 254-nucleotide ribosomal RNA is filed under the name uncultured bacterium. Its description in RNAcentral is "partial 16S ribosomal RNA". It matches the Rfam family "Bacterial small subunit ribosomal RNA", at positions 524 to 776 of the family's 1533-position model. The record is from RNAcentral.